RNAcentral lists this unclassified non-coding RNA (1178 nucleotides) under Hevea brasiliensis (rubber tree). Lineage: Eukaryota; Viridiplantae; Streptophyta; Magnoliopsida; Malpighiales; Euphorbiaceae. The record is from RNAcentral.
CCGCUUCGCGUCGUGUCCUUGUAAAAAUCGCUGUUUCUGGUGGCUUCUCUUAAACAUCAUCUCGCUUUUAUUUUUGUUCUCUUUAAUUGUUUACAUUUUCUUCCUCGCUUUUCUCGUCAUCCAAACACCAAACUUUUCACAGAAUGGGAAAUUCAGCAAGCAAUAGCCGUAGGUAUCAUCACCCCCGACCAGCCCCUGCGCCGCAGGCCCCAGUCACAACUAGCCAAUACGCAUUUGCGGCCCCAUCUCAGUAUCCAAAUCCUAAUAUUCCUUACCAUUAUCAUCAGUAUCCUCCUGGAUAUUACCCGCCUCCGCAUGUGCCGUUUGGUCCGGUUCCUCAUAAUUUCCAUCGUUAUCCUUGUGGUGUUGCUCCGCCGAUGGUUUCGCCUCCCGUUGAGUAUCAAAAGGCGGUUACAAUUAGGAAUGAUGUGAAUAUAAGGAAAGAUAGCAUUAGGGUUGAGGAGGACGAUGAGAAUCCCGGAAAGUUUCUCGUCGCGUUCACUUUUGAUGCCACUGCCCCUGGAAGCAUUACAAUUGGGUUUUUUGCUAAAGAAGGUGCAAACUGUGACGUGAUAGCAACAAAACCUGUGAAGGUAUCGUUUGAGCAAGGUCUUGAUCAGAAGUUUAGACAACCUUCUGGAACAGGGAUUGAUUUCUCAAUGUUUGAGGAUGCAGAGUUAAAGAAGGAGGGUGCUGAAGGGGUUUAUCCUCUUAUGGUGAAGGCUGAGGUGUGCCCAUCAAAUAAUGAUGAAUUGGAAGCUAAUUCAUCUGGAAAUUCACAGAUCACGUUGGCUGUGUUUGAUAAGAAAAUGAAUGAUAAGUACAUUGUCCGGGUUAUGAAACAGAUCCUAUGGGUGAAUAGCACGAGAUAUGAGUUGCAGGAGAUUUAUGGGAUUGGGAACUCUUUGGAAGUUGAAUCUGAUGAGAAUGAUUCUGGAAAAGAAUGUGUCAUCUGCUUUUCGGAACCACGAGAUACUACUGUCCUCCCAUGCCGACAUAUGUGUAUGUGCGGUACAUGUGCCAAGGUUUUGCGAUUGCAAACAGAUCGAUGCCCCAUCUGCAGGCAACCAGUUGAACGCCUCCUGGAAAUUAAGGUGAAGGAGGGAAGUGAUGAAUGAAGAUUAUCUACUGGCAAGGGUUUCUGGUUACUUGAGAAUUUCUUUAAUUUCUCUCUUUCA